Molecule: ribosomal RNA, 465 nt
Filed under: uncultured Klebsiella sp.
Lineage: Bacteria; Pseudomonadati; Pseudomonadota; Gammaproteobacteria; Enterobacterales; Enterobacteriaceae
Description: bacterial SSU rRNA
Rfam family: Bacterial small subunit ribosomal RNA
Source: RNAcentral
CCUACGGGUGGCUGCAGUGGGGAAUAUUGCACAAUGGGCGCAAGCCUGAUGCAGCCAUGCCGCGUGUGUGAAGAAGGCCUUCGGGUUGUAAAGCACUUUCAGCGGGGAGGAAGGCGUUAAGGUUAAUAACCUUGGCGAUUGACGUUACCCGCAGAAGAAGCACCGGCUAACUCCGUGCCAGCAGCCGCGGUAAUACGGAGGGUGCAAGCGUUGAUCGGAAUUACUGGGCGUAAAGCGCACGCAGGCGGUCUGUCAAGUCGGAUGUGAAAUCCCCGGGCUCAACCUGGGAACUGCAUUCGAAACUGGCAGGCUAGAGUCUUGUAGAGGGGGGUAGAAUUCCAGGUGUAGCGGUGAAAUGCGUAGAGAUCUGGAGGAAUACCGGUGGCGAAGGCGGCCCCCUGGACAAAGACUGACGCUCAGGUGCGAAAGCGUGGGGAGCAAACAGGAUUAGAUACCCCUGUAGUC